UACGAAGGGGGCUAGCGUUGUUCGGAAUCACUGGGCGUAAAGCGCACGCAGGCGGAUCGAUAAGUCGGGGGUGAAAGCCCGGGGCUCAACCUCGGAAUUGCCUACGAUACUGUCGGUCUCGAGUCCGGGAGAGGUGAGUGGAAUUCCUAGUGUAGAGGUGAAAUUCGUAGAGAUUAGGAAGAACACCAGUGGCGAAGGCGGCGCACUGGCCCAGUACUGACGCUCAGGUGCGAAAGCGUGGGGAGCAAACAGG
RNAcentral lists this ribosomal RNA (253 nucleotides) under uncultured bacterium. RNAcentral's name for it is "partial 16S ribosomal RNA". It matches the Rfam family "Bacterial small subunit ribosomal RNA", at positions 524 to 776 of the family's 1533-position model. The record is from RNAcentral.